AAAUUAAUGAGCUUGAAAUAAGCAUAUAUUUUGAAAAUAUAAGAAAGAUUAAGUUUCUAUUAAUUUG
RNAcentral lists this transfer RNA (67 nucleotides) under Idgia oculata. RNAcentral describes it as "tRNA-Ser". The record is from RNAcentral. Lineage: Eukaryota; Metazoa; Arthropoda; Insecta; Coleoptera; Prionoceridae.